UCAGAAGUGUAAUGGGGCACAAAU
This 24-nucleotide unclassified non-coding RNA is filed under the name Mus musculus (house mouse). RNAcentral describes it as "oocyte_clustered_small_RNA1804". Lineage: Eukaryota; Metazoa; Chordata; Mammalia; Rodentia; Muridae. The record is from RNAcentral.